CUGGCUCUCCCUGUGCCUACAGGCCAAGGGCUGGGCCUAGCCUUCUACUUACAGCCUCUCCCAGAGACAACUUUGGGCCUUAGCCCUCACAGGGCCAGGGGCCCCAUCAUCUCUGACAUCCCAGAAGACUCUCCAUCCCCUGAGGGGACCAGGCUUUCUCCCUCCAGUGAUGGCAGGAGGGAGAAGGGCCUGGCACUGCUCAAAGAAGAGCCGGCCAGUCCAGGGGGGGAUGGCGAGGCCGGGCUGGCCCUGGCCCCAAACGAG
RNAcentral lists this small RNA (264 nucleotides) under Pan troglodytes (chimpanzee). Its description in RNAcentral is "retained intron". The record is from RNAcentral. Lineage: Eukaryota; Metazoa; Chordata; Mammalia; Primates; Hominidae.